This 218-nucleotide ribosomal RNA is filed under the name uncultured bacterium. RNAcentral's name for it is "partial 16S ribosomal RNA". It matches the Rfam family "Bacterial small subunit ribosomal RNA", at positions 28 to 230 of the family's 1533-position model. The record is from RNAcentral.
GACGAACGCUGGCGGCGUGCUUAACACAUGCAAGUCGAGCGGUAAGGCCCUUUUGGGGGUACGACGAGCGGCGAACGGGUGGAGUAACACGUGGGUGGACCUCGCCCUCCAGCUCUGGGAGUAAGCCUGGGAAACGUAGGGUCGUAAUACCGGAUAUGCACUGCUUAUCGCAUGGUGGGUGGUGGAAAGUCCUGUUCUGUAAUGGAGUUGGGGCGGGC